RNAcentral lists this ribosomal RNA (749 nucleotides) under Citrobacter freundii. Its description in RNAcentral is "bacterial SSU rRNA". It matches the Rfam family "Bacterial small subunit ribosomal RNA", at positions 41 to 780 of the family's 1533-position model. The record is from RNAcentral. Lineage: Bacteria; Pseudomonadati; Pseudomonadota; Gammaproteobacteria; Enterobacterales; Enterobacteriaceae.
GGCGCCUAAACAGCAGACUCGUAAGUAACACAAAGAACUUGCUCCUUGGGGGACGAGUGGCGGAACGGGUGAAGUAAAGUCUGGGAAAAUGCCCGAUGGAGGGGGAAAACUACUGGAAACGGUAGCUAAUACCGCAUAACGUCGCAAGACCAAAGAGGGGGACCUUCGGGCCUCUUGCCAUCGGAUGUGCCCAGAUGGGAUUAGCUAGUAGGUGGGGUAACGGCUCACCUAGGCGACGAUCCCUAGCUGGGCCUGAGAAGGAGGACCAGCCACACUGGAACUGAGACACGGUCCAGACUCCUACGGGAGGCAGCAGUGGGGAAUAUUGCACAAUGGGCGCAAGCCUGAUGCAGCCAUGCCGCGUGUAUGAAGAAGGCCUUCGGGUUGUAAAGUACUUUCAGCGAGGAGGAAGGCGUUGUGGUUAAUAACCGCAACGAUUGACGUUACUCGCAGAAGAAGCACCGGCUAACUCCGUGCCAGCAGCCGCGGUAAUACGGAGGGUGCAAGCGUUAAUCGGAAUUACUGGGCGUAAAGCGCACGCAGGCGGUCUGUCAAGUCGGAUGUGAAAUCCCCGGGCUCAACCUGGGAACUGCAUCCGAAACUGGCAGGCUAGAGUCUUGUAGAGGGGGGUAGAAUUCCAGGUGUAGCGGUGAAAUGCGUAGAGAUCUGGAGGAAUACCGGUGGCGAAGGCGGCCCCCUGGACAAAGACUGACGCUCAGGUGCGAAAGCGUGGGGAGCAAACAGGAUAG